UACGGAGGGGGCUAGCGUUGUUCGGAAUCACUGGGCGUAAAGCGCACGUAGGCGGUGUAUCAAGUCAGAGGUGAAAGGCCUGGGCUCAACCUGGGAAUUGCCUUUGAUACUGGUACGCUUGAGGCCGGGAGAGGGUAGUGGAAUUCCCAGUGUAGAGGGGGAAUUCGUAGAUUUUGGGAAGAACACCGGUGGCGAAGGCGGCUACCUGGCGCGGUUACUGACGCUGAGGUGCGAAAGCGUGGGGAGCGAACAGG
RNAcentral lists this unclassified non-coding RNA (254 nucleotides) under uncultured Rhodospirillales bacterium. RNAcentral's name for it is "contains 16S-23S intergenic spacer region". It matches the Rfam family "Bacterial small subunit ribosomal RNA", at positions 524 to 776 of the family's 1533-position model. Lineage: Bacteria; Pseudomonadati; Pseudomonadota; Alphaproteobacteria; Rhodospirillales. The record is from RNAcentral.